GUGGCUGUAGCUCAGUUGGUUAGAGCGCCGGUUUGUGGUACCGGAGGUCGCGGGUUCAAGUCCCGUUAGCCACCCCA
RNAcentral lists this transfer RNA (77 nucleotides) under Denitrobaculum tricleocarpae. Its description in RNAcentral is "Rhodospirillaceae bacterium R148 tRNA-His". It matches the Rfam family "tRNA". From Rfam's summary of the family: Transfer RNA (tRNA) molecules are approximately 80 nucleotides in length. Lineage: Bacteria; Pseudomonadati; Pseudomonadota; Alphaproteobacteria; Rhodospirillales; Rhodospirillaceae. The record is from RNAcentral.